GACGAACGCUGGCGGCGUGCUUAACACAUGCAAGUCGAACGAAGUGGCGAACGGGUGAGUAAUACGUGAGUAACCUGCCCUCCUUUUUGGGAUAAGCCUUGGAAACGGGGUCUAAUACCGAAUAAAGGGGGCUGGGCUCGCGGCCUAUCAGCUUGUUGGUGGGGUGAUGGCCUACAAAGGCGGUGACUGGUAGUCGGCCUGAGAGAGUGACCGGGCACAUUGGAACUGAGAUACGGCCCAGAGUCCUACGGGAGGCAGCAGUGGGGGAUAUUGCACAAUGGGCGAAAGCCUGAUGCAGCGGCGCCGCGUGGGGGAUGAAGGCUUUCGGGUUGUAAACCUCGUUCGCGAUCGAAAGGGUAGGUGGAGAAGAAGCGCCGGCUAACUACGUGCCAGCCGCCGCGGUAAUUC
This 408-nucleotide ribosomal RNA is filed under the name uncultured bacterium. RNAcentral describes it as "partial 16S ribosomal RNA". It matches the Rfam family "Bacterial small subunit ribosomal RNA", at positions 28 to 526 of the family's 1533-position model. The record is from RNAcentral.